GCUGGGCAAGGUGAUGCAUACCUGUAAUCCCAGCAACUCGGGAGACUGAGGCAGGAUGAUUGUGAGUUCAAAGCCAACCUUAGCAACUCAGCAAGACCCUGUUUCUA
This 107-nucleotide small RNA is filed under the name Marmota monax (woodchuck). Lineage: Eukaryota; Metazoa; Chordata; Mammalia; Rodentia; Sciuridae. The record is from RNAcentral.